AUUGAACGCUGGCGGCAGGCUUAACACAUGCAAGUCGAGCGGGGGAAGGUAGCUUGCUACCGGACCUAGCGGCGGACGGGUGAGUAAUGGUUAGGAAUCUGCCUAUUAGUGGGGGACAACAUCUCGAAAGGGAUGCUAAUACCGCAUACGUCCUACGGGAGAAAGCAGGGGAUCGUCGGACCUUGCGCUAAUAGAUGAGCCUAAGUCGGAUUAGCUAGUUGGUGGGGUAAAGGCCUACCAAGGCGACGAUCUGGAGCGGGUCUGAGAGGAUGGUCCGCCCCACUGGGACUGAGACACGGCCCAGACUCCUACGGGAGGCAGCAGUGGGGAAUAUUGGACAAUGGGGGGAACCCUGAUCCAGCCAUGCCGCGUGUGUGAAGAAGGCCUUAUGGUUGUAAAGCACUUUAAGCGAGGAGGAGGCUACUCUAGUUAAUACCUAGGGAUAGUGGACGUUACUCGCAGAAUAAGCACCGGCUAACUCUGUGCCAGCAGCCGCCGUAA
This 501-nucleotide ribosomal RNA is filed under the name uncultured bacterium. Its description in RNAcentral is "partial 16S ribosomal RNA". It matches the Rfam family "Bacterial small subunit ribosomal RNA", at positions 30 to 523 of the family's 1533-position model. The record is from RNAcentral.